RNAcentral lists this ribosomal RNA (322 nucleotides) under uncultured eukaryote. Its description in RNAcentral is "partial 18S ribosomal RNA". It matches the Rfam family "Eukaryotic small subunit ribosomal RNA", at positions 1470 to 1796 of the family's 1831-position model. The record is from RNAcentral.
CCCUUAGAUGUUCUGGGCCGCACGCGUGCUACACUGAGUGGAUCAGCGGGUCAGGUUGCGCGAAAGUGUUUCCUAAUCUUUAAAUCUGCUCGUGAUGGGGAUUGACGGUUGCAAUUUUCCGUCAUGAACGAGGAAUACCUUGUAAGCGCGGGUCAUCAUCCCGCGCUGAAUACGUCCCUGCCCUUUGUACACACCGCCCGUCGCUCCUACCGAUUGAGUGGUCCGGUGAGGCUUUGGGAUCUGAGCGGAAAGAGCGUUUCGCUGUUUCUGCCCGGAAAACUCAGUCGAACCUUAUCAUUUAGAGGAAGGAGAAGUCGUAACA